This is a long non-coding RNA of Eptesicus fuscus (big brown bat), 912 nucleotides long. RefSeq lists it as uncharacterized. Lineage: Eukaryota; Metazoa; Chordata; Mammalia; Chiroptera; Vespertilionidae. The record is from RefSeq and is a predicted model, not a curated record. The transcript is spliced from 4 exons.
GGUCAACUGAGCAUCACCUCUCCAUAAAUAUAAUUUUCCACUCAAGAGCUCAAUGUCAAAAACCCGGAACCUCCGAGUGAUGGGGUCUCGGGACAUUUUAUUCAAGUUGAGAGAUGGAAUAGAGAUGAACUGGCACCGGGGCUAGUCUCUUCUUUAUAUGCACAGUACAAUCACACCUGGAGGAGGUUUCAUGCAAUACCUCUUCUUAAAGUAUAGAGCUAGCCUGUUUUUUAGUAGCCACACUGAGGAAAUACCAGAAUGGUAAAGAAGUAUUGGAUUUUGAAUGUAUUAGAGGAUGUUACUGUAGUUAAAUGCAUACCUACUGAAGUAUUGCCCAGCUUCCCCUAAGUAGUGUCCAGAACUCCUUUGCAGCUUUUGUUCAGGAAUGAUAUAAAUCAUAGAAUCAUAGGUAGAAUGAUAAGAUCAUCUAGUAUUACAUUCAUGUUUUACAUUUGAAGAAACUGAAAACCAACAAAGUGACAGGACUUGGACAAGGUCACACAAUGUGUUGGAACAAAAGGCUGGACAAUUUGCAUGUGCACUUACUACAUUUACAUGCCUAACUACCCCACAGGAAGAUUCCUAUGCCAAUUGGCAUUUGAAAAUGUGUUAACUGAGCUUACAGAAUGGUGGUGCUUUGAAAUCCUGGGAAUCUUAAUCAUCAAAAAGGAGAGGUGAGUCAGAGUGGGCAGAAAACGAUGGUCCAUUUUGAAGGGAUCUGAGCACAACCAGUGUGAAGGCACACAAGGAGAAGCUAUUGGUGCACAAGUGGAUGAAAUCCUGGGUUUUGAGAUAGUACUUUGGAAACCAACAGAUUCCUCAGGGAAAGCAUUUCGGGCAUUAGCUAAUUGGAUUAGUUGUGUGUUUUCUGUGAAUGCUAAGGAAUUUAUAAGCUGUAGAUUAAAAUCUUCA